This 114-nucleotide ribosomal RNA is filed under the name uncultured eukaryote. Its description in RNAcentral is "partial small subunit ribosomal RNA". The record is from RNAcentral.
GAGGGGCAUCCGAAGUCGCUGUGCUAACCGUAAGGAGGCCGAUUACCACGGUACGUUUUAUGACUGGGGUGAAGUCGUAACAAGGUAGCAGUAGGUGAACCUGCAGAAGGAUCA